This 481-nucleotide ribosomal RNA is filed under the name uncultured bacterium. Its description in RNAcentral is "bacterial SSU rRNA". It matches the Rfam family "Bacterial small subunit ribosomal RNA", at positions 28 to 507 of the family's 1533-position model. The record is from RNAcentral.
GAUGAACGCUAGCGGCAGGCCUAACACAUGCAAGUCGAGGGGUAACGAUGUCUUCGGACAGGCGACGACCGGCGCACGGGUGAGUAUCGCGUUUGUAACCUACCUUUAACUGGAGCAUAGCCCGAAGAAAUUCGGAUUAAUACUCCAUAACACUAUGAACUGGCAUCUUUUUAUAGUUAAAGCUCCGGCGGUUAAAGAUGGGCAUGCGUGACAUUAGAUAGUUGGUGAGGUAACGGCUCACCAAGUCUACGAUGUCUAGGGGGUCUGAGAGGAUGGUCCCCACACUGGUACUGAGACACGGACCAGACUCCUACGGGAGGCAGCAGUGAGGAAUAUUGGUCAAUGGGCGCAAGCCUGAACCAGCCAUGCCGCGUGAAGGAUGACAGCGCUACGCGUUGUAAACUUCUUUUGUACAGGAAGAAACACUCUUACGUGUAAGAGCUUGACGGUACUGUACGAAUAAGCAUCGGCUAACUCCGUG